GUAACGCGUAGGAACGUGUCUAGAGGUGGGGGACAACCCUGGGAAACUGGGGCUAAUACCGCAUAUGGGCUGAGGCCCAAAGCCGUGAGGCGCCUUUGGAGCGGCCUGCGUCCGAUUAGCUAGUUGGUGGGGUAAAGGCCUACCAAGGCUCCGAUCGGUAGCUGGUCCGAGAGGACGAUCAGCCACACUGGGACUGAGACACGGCCCAGACUCCUACGGGAGGCAGCAGUGGGGAAUAUUGGACAAUGGGCGCAAGCCUGAUCCAGCAAUGCCGCGUGGGUGAAGAAGGUCUUCGGAUCGUAAAGCCCUUUCGACAGGGACGAUGAUGACGGUACCUGUAGAAGAAGCCCCGGCUAACUUCGUGCCAGCAGCCGCGGUAAUACGAAGGGGGCUAGCGUUGCUCGGAAUUACUGGGCGUAAAGGGCGCGUAGGCGGCUUAGUCAGUCAGGCGUGAAAUUCCUGGGCUUAACCUGGGGGCUGCGUUUGAGACGGCUAGGCUAGAGGAUAGGAGAGGGUCGUGGAAUUCCCAGUGUAGAGGUGAAAUUCGUAGAUAUUGGGAAGAACACCGGUGGCGAAGGCGGCGACCUGGCCUAUUACUGACGCUGAGGCG
This 610-nucleotide ribosomal RNA is filed under the name uncultured bacterium. Its description in RNAcentral is "bacterial SSU rRNA". It matches the Rfam family "Bacterial small subunit ribosomal RNA", at positions 110 to 753 of the family's 1533-position model. The record is from RNAcentral.